This 1083-nucleotide ribosomal RNA is filed under the name Triticum aestivum (bread wheat). RNAcentral's name for it is "partial small subunit ribosomal RNA". Lineage: Eukaryota; Viridiplantae; Streptophyta; Magnoliopsida; Poales; Poaceae. The record is from RNAcentral.
AUGGCUCUCGAAGCGCGCCUCCGCCUCCCGCUCGCCGGGCCAACUCCGGCCACCGCUUUCCUCUCAGGAUCUAACCCCAAACCCAGUCACAUAUCCUUCUCCCUCAAACCCACCUCCACUUCUCUCUCCGCCGCCAAUGCGCCGCCCAUCGUCGUCGUGGGCUCCGCCAACGCGGACAUCUACGUCGAGGUCGACCGUCUCCCGCUCGUCGGCGAGACGGUUGCCGCGAGUGCCGGUCACAGCCUCGCCGGCGGGAAGGGCGCCAAUCAAGCUGCCUGUGGGGGGCGGCUGGCGCUGGGGCCCACCUACCUCGUGGCGCGCGUGGGGGACGACGCCAACGGGCGCCUCCUCGAGGGGGCACUCGCGGACGCCGGCGGCGUCCGCCUCGACCGCGUCGCUCGCGCCCCCGGCGCGCCCUCGGGGCACGCUGUUGUCAUGCUCAUGCCCGACGGGCAGAACUCCAUCAUCAUCGUUGGCGGCGCCAACAUGGAGGGCUGGGCACCGGAGGUCGACCCGGAGGACCUGGACCUGAUCCGGCAGGCCGGCGUGCUACUGCUGCAACGGGAGAUACCCGAUUGGGUCAACAUUCAGGUCGCUCAGGCUGCAAAAGGCGCAGGUGUGCCUGUUAUCUUGGAUGCAGGUGGAAUGGAUGCUCCUGUCCCCAGAGAACUACUCGAACUGGUGGAUAUUUUUAGUCCAAAUGAGACAGAGCUAGCACGUUUGACUGGGAUGCCUACAGAGACUUUUGAACAAAUCAGCCAGGCUGCAGGAGCAUGCCAUAAAAUGGGUGUGAAAGAAGUUUUGGUUAAACUUGGAUCACAAGGAUCUGCUCUGUUUGUCGAGGGAGAGGAACCAAUUAGGCAGGCGAUAAUACCUGCCGCAGAAGUGGUAGACACCACCGGCGCUGGUGACACCUUCACCUCAGCUUUUGCUGUAGCUCUGGUGGAGGGGAAGCCAAAGAAAGAGUGCAUGAAAUUUGCUGCUGCCGCCGCCUCACUGUGUGUUCGAGUGAAGGGAGCCAUUCCCAGCAUGCCUGACAGGAAAACUGUGAUGAGCCUUCUAGAAUCUGUGCAAGAUGAAUAA